RNAcentral lists this ribosomal RNA (462 nucleotides) under uncultured Pseudomonas sp. RNAcentral describes it as "bacterial SSU rRNA". It matches the Rfam family "Bacterial small subunit ribosomal RNA", at positions 923 to 1382 of the family's 1533-position model. Lineage: Bacteria; Pseudomonadati; Pseudomonadota; Gammaproteobacteria; Pseudomonadales; Pseudomonadaceae. The record is from RNAcentral.
GCACAAGCGGUGGAGCAUGUGGUUUAAUUCGACGCAACGCGAAGAACCUUACCAGGGCUUGACAUCCCCUGACCGCGUAUGAAAGUACGUUUUCACCCUCGGGUGACAGGGAGACAGGUGGUGCAUGGUUGUCGUCAGCUCGUGUCGUGAGAUGUUGGGUUAAGUCCCGUAACGAGCGCAACCCUUGUCCUUAGUUACCAGCACGUAAUAGUGGGCACUCUAAGGAGACUGCCGGUGACAAACCGGAGGAAGGUGGGGAUGACGUCAAGUCAUCAUGGCCCUUACGGCCUGGGCUACACACGUGCUACAAUGGUCGGUACAAAGGGUUGCCAAGCCGCGAGGUGGAGCUAAUCCCAUAAAACCGAUCGUAGUCCGGAUCGCAGUCUGCAACUCGACUGCGUGAAGUCGGAAUCGCUAGUAAUCGUGAAUCAGAAUGUCACGGUGAAUACGUUCCCGGGCCUU